AGCGUACACGGUGGAUGCCCUGGCAGUCAGAGGCGAUGAAGGACGUGCUAAUCUGCGAAAAGCGCCGGCGAGGUGAUAUGAACCCUUGACCCGGCGAUGUCCGAAUGGGGAAACCCAGUGCAAUCCGUUGCACUAUCGUUAACUGAAUACAUAGGUUAACGAGGCGAACCGGGGGAACUGAAACAUCUAAGUACCCCGAGGAAAAGAAAUCAACCGAGAUUCCCCCAGUAGCGGCGAGCGAACGGGGAGCAGCCCGGAGUCUGAAUCAGCUUGUGUGUUAGUGGAACGGUCUGGAAAGUCCGACGGUACAGGGUGAUAGUCCCGUACACGAAAGCACACUUGCUGUGAACUCGAAGAGUAGGGCGGGACACGUGGUAUCCUGUCUGAAUAUGGGGGGACCAUCCUCCAAGGCUAAAUACUCCUGACUGACCGAUAGUGAACCAGUACCGUGAGGGAAAGGCGAAAAGAACCCCGGCGAGGGGAGUGAAAAAGAACCUGAAACCGUGUACGUACAAGCAGUGGGAGCCUACUUGUUAGGUGACUGCGUACCUUUUGUAUAAUGGGUCAGCGACUUAUAUUCUGUAGCAAGGUUAACCGUAUAGGGGAGCCGAAGGGAAACCGAGUCUUAACUGGGCGUUAAGUUGCAGGGUAUAGACCCGAAACCCGGUGAUCUAGCCAUGGGCAGGUUGAAGGUUGGGUAACACUAACUGGAGGACCGAACCGACUAAUGUUGAAAAAUUAGCGGAUGACCUGUGGCUGGGGGUGAAAGGCCAAUCAAACCGGGAGAUAGCUGGUUCUCCCCGAAAGCUAUUUAGGUAGCGCCUCGUGAACUCAUCUUCGGGGGUAGAGCACUGUUUCGGCUAGGGGGCCAUCCCGGCUUACCAACCCGAUGCAAACUACGAAUACCGAAGAAUGUUAUCACGGGAGACACACGGCGGGUGCUAACGUCCGUCGUGAAGAGGGAAACAACCCAGACCGCCAGCUAAGGUCCCAAAGUCAUGGUUAAGUGGGAAACGAUGUGGGAAGGCACAGACAGCCAGGAUGUUGGCUUAGAAGCAGCCAUCAUUUAAAGAAAGCGUAAUAGCUCACUGGUCGAGUCGGCCUGCGCGGAAGAUGUAACGGGGCUAAACCAUGCACCGAAGCUGCGGCAGCGACGCUUAUGUGUUGUUGGGUAGGGGAGCGUUCUGUAAGCCGUUGAAGGUGGCCUGUGAGGGUUGCUGGAGGUAUCAGAAGUGCGAAUGCUGACAUAAGUAACGAUAAAGCGGGUGAAAAGCCCGCUCGCCGGAAGACCAAGGGUUCCUGUCCAACGUUAAUCGGGGCAGGGUGAGUCGACCCCUAAGGCGAGGCCGAAAGGCGUAGUCGAUGGGAAACAGGUUAAUAUUCCUGUACUUGGUGUUACUGCGAAGGGGGGACGGAGAAGGCUAUGUCAGCCGGGCGACGGUUGUCCCGGUUUAAGCAUGUAGGCGGAGGUUCCAGGUAAAUCCGGUACCUUUUAACGCUGAGGUGUGAUGACGAGGCACUACGGUGCUGAAGUGAUAAAUGCCCUGCUUCCAGGAAAAGCCUCUAAGCAUCAGGUAACACGAAAUCGUACCCCAAACCGACACAGGUGGUCAGGUAGAGAAUACCAAGGCGCUUGAGAGAACUCGGGUGAAGGAACUAGGCAAAAUGGUGCCGUAACUUCGGGAGAAGGCACGCUGAUGUGUAGGUGAAGCCCCUGCGGGCGGAGCUGAAAUCAGUCGAAGAUACCAGCUGGCUGCAACUGUUUAUUAAAAACACAGCACUGUGCAAACACGAAAGUGGACGUAUACGGUGUGACGCCUGCCCGGUGCCGGAAGGUUAAUUGAUGGGGUUAGCUGUAAGGCGAAGCUCUUGAUCGAAGCCCCGGUAAACGGCGGCCGUAACUAUAACGGUCCUAAGGUAGCGAAAUUCCUUGUCGGGUAAGUUCCGACCUGCACGAAUGGCGUAAUGAUGGCCAGGCUGUCUCCACCCGAGACUCAGUGAAAUUGAACUCGCUGUGAAGAUGCAGUGUACCCGCGGCAAGACGGAAAGACCCCGUGAACCUUUACUAUAGCUUGACACUGAACACUGGUCCUUGAUGUGUAGGAUAGGUGGGAGGCUUUGAAGCGUGGACGCCAGUCUGCGUGGAGCCAACCUUGAAAUACCACCCUUUAAUGGCUGGUGUUCUAACGUAGACCCGUAAUCCGGGUUGCGGACAGUGUCUGGUGGGUAGUUUGACUGGGGCGGUCUCCUCCCAAAGAGUAACGGAGGAGCACGAAGGUUGGCUAAUCCUGGUCGGACAUCAGGAGGUUAGUGCAAUGGCAUAAGCCAGCUUGACUGCGAGCGUGACGGCGCGAGCAGGUGCGAAAGCAGGUCAUAGUGAUCCGGUGGUUCUGAAUGGAAGGGCCAUCGCUCAACGGAUAAAAGGUACUCCGGGGAUAACAGGCUGAUACCGCCCAAGAGUUCAUAUCGACGGCGGUGUUUGGCACCUCGAUGUCGGCUCAUCACAUCCUGGGGCUGAAGUAGGUCCCAAGGGUAUGGCUGUUCGCCAUUUAAAGUGGUACGCGAGCUGGGUUUAGAACGUCGUGAGACAGUUCGGUCCCUAUCUGCCGUGGGCGCUGGAGAAUUGAGGGGGGCUGCUCCUAGUACGAGAGGACCGGAGUGGACGCAUCACUGGUGUUCGGGUUGUCAUGCCAAUGGCACUGCCCGGUAGCUAAAUGCGGAAGAGAUAAGUGCUGAAAGCAUCUAAGCACGAAACUUGCCCCGAGAUGAGUUCU
Molecule: ribosomal RNA, 2774 nt
Filed under: Enterobacter cloacae
Lineage: Bacteria; Pseudomonadati; Pseudomonadota; Gammaproteobacteria; Enterobacterales; Enterobacteriaceae
Description: bacterial LSU rRNA
Rfam family: Bacterial large subunit ribosomal RNA
Source: RNAcentral